GACGAACCGUACAAACGUUAUUCGGAAUUACUGGGCUUAAAGGGUUUGUAGGCGGCCUUGUAAGUCAGGUGUGAAAUCCCUCGGCUCAACCGAGGAAUGGCGCUUGAUACUGCAAGGCUUGAGGGAGACAGGGGUAAGCGGAACUGAUGGUGGAGCGGUGAAAUGCGUUGAUAUCAUCAGGAACACCGGUGGCGAAAGCGGCUUACUGGGUCUCUUCUGACGCUGAGGAACGAAAGCCAGGGGAGCAAACGGG
This 253-nucleotide ribosomal RNA is filed under the name uncultured bacterium. RNAcentral's name for it is "partial 16S ribosomal RNA". It matches the Rfam family "Bacterial small subunit ribosomal RNA", at positions 524 to 776 of the family's 1533-position model. The record is from RNAcentral.